CAGCAGCCGCGGUAAUACGAAGGGGGCUAGCGUUGUUCGGAUUUACUGGGCGUAAAGCGCACGUAGGCGGAUCGAUCAGUCAGGGGUGAAAUCCCAGAGCUCAACUCUGGAACUGCCUUUGAUACUGUCGAUCUGGAGUAUGGAAGAGGUGAGUGGAAUUCCGAGUGUAGAGGUGAAAUUCGUAGAUAUUCGGAGGAACACCAGUGGCGAAGGCGGCUCACUGGUUCAUUACUGACGCUGAGGUGCGAAAGCGUGGGGAGCAAACAGGAUUAGAUACCCCCGUAGUCCCUGUCUCUUAUAC
Molecule: ribosomal RNA, 301 nt
Filed under: uncultured bacterium
Lineage: Bacteria
Description: partial 16S ribosomal RNA
Rfam family: Bacterial small subunit ribosomal RNA
Source: RNAcentral